This 1097-nucleotide long non-coding RNA is filed under the name Ailuropoda melanoleuca (giant panda). Its description in RNAcentral is "lncRNA (ENSAMEG00000029698.1)". The record is from RNAcentral. Lineage: Eukaryota; Metazoa; Chordata; Mammalia; Carnivora; Ursidae.
AUCGAUUAGUUCUUAAAAUCUCUUAAAUGUAGUCCUUUUCUGUUUGCGUGGUUGCUAUCCUGAUUUUGGCAAAAGCUUCCAAAUUGUUUUUUUUUUUUUUACUUCUGUGUCAGCAACCCAUCCUAUAAUCUGUUGCCAGAUUAAUCUUCUAAAACAUGUAUUUUAUCAUGUCACUCUUUGGCUGAAAUUGCCCUCCUUGACCUCCAUUGUUUACACUGCCUGGAGGGCAGACAUAAACAUGUAAGCCACCUUUUUCUCCUUCUUCAUGGAAGACACUAAUAAUCAAUCAUGCUUUGUUUCUCUAAGAGCCAGUGGUCUCAGAAUUCUCAACACAGAGUUCUAAUGAACCACUGUCAAUUGCUAAGAGAUAGUUUUGACGAAACUUCUUUGUCACACUUGGACGACAACAAGAGAUCCAGAGUGAAAAGCUCACACCCAGUGAAGUCAAUGUAAGCUGAUCCCACUCUAUCUUCCUGUGGAUGAAGGUUUGAAAUAUUUCUGCUCUGCUUUAGCAAAUUCAGAACCUAACUAUCUGCUAAACAUGCUCUCUUCUGUCCAGACUCUGGGCCGCUGUUUCUGAGCUUAUGGAACAUGACCAAGGAAAUGCAGCGAAUACGUAGCAGCACUAAGAUUUCUGCUUGGCUGUCUGCUGUCUAACCAUGGGACCUUUGUACUUUAUCACCACAAGUACAGCCUUCUGCCUGGAGAUGCUCUCCCUCCCCCAAGACUGAUUAGAUGACUGCUUUUAGAAUUUCAUUCUUGCAGUCCCCUGGGAUGUAAUUCACUGCAGCCAGAAUGGAUUCGCUAUACACAGGAGUCAUCCUUCUAACCUGCCAUGUCCAUAGUCUGGCAUCUUCAUGCAACUGAAAGGAUGUUCCACUCAACAGUGAUGACUCUGGAGAGAGAAAAGAAAUCACAAAUGGGCCAAAUGCAGCUUAAGAGCUCCUCCUCUCAAAAGGAAGUCCACAAGUGGUCAGUGGCAUAUAGAUGGAAAACAUCCAAAUUUGAGUUCUUUUCACCACUCAGAAAUAUCAUGCCUCCCACGUAGUUAAUAGAGACACAAAUUCAGGAUACCAGAUGAGCAUCUAAGAUCCGAC